Molecule: long non-coding RNA, 166 nt
Organism: Hibiscus syriacus
Lineage: Eukaryota; Viridiplantae; Streptophyta; Magnoliopsida; Malvales; Malvaceae
Exons: 3
Source: RefSeq, a predicted model, not a curated record
GGAAGAUGCAAUAAGAUUUUGGAGUUCACAAAAAGGACAUGACCGAGAGCAUGUUGGUGUUGCUAUCAGGCAACAAAAAAAGUUUACGCACACAGAUGGAUCGAAGAGCUUUGCUUGUAUAGCUAAUAAGGAGGAAAAUACAUCUGGUUCCAAAGUUGGUUGAAUC